RNAcentral lists this long non-coding RNA (522 nucleotides) under Marmota monax (woodchuck). The record is from RNAcentral. Lineage: Eukaryota; Metazoa; Chordata; Mammalia; Rodentia; Sciuridae.
GUCUAACUGCAUUAGUUCAUCAGGUCAUUUCCUAGAUCAUGCACUUUUUAUCUAUAAAAGGCAUCCUAUUCUUUUAAAUAUUUUUUGGUUUUAGGUGGACACAAUAUCUUUAUUUUUAUGUGGUGCUGAGAAUCGAACCCAGUGCCUCACGCAUGCCAGGCAAGCGUGCUACCACUUGAGCCACACCCUCAGCACAAAAGGCAUCCUAUUUCUGUUAUGCAUCUUGGUUGAUGAUUCUGGCAUAAGGGAGGCUGCUGAUUUCCAGAGGAACUCUGAUCUGGCAUGCCAGCUGCAGAGUGGAUGAAGUUGUUUUGGCCUAGAGCAGCAUCCAGAGCAUAAUAGAUGCUCAGUAAAAACUAAUGGUAAGGGGCUGGGGAUGUGGCUCAAGCGGUAGCGCGCUCGCCUGGCAUGCGUGCGGCCCGGGUUCGAUCCUCAGCUCCACAUACAAACAAAGAUGUUGUGUCCGCCGAGAACUAAAAACUAAAUAUUAAAAAAUUCUCUCUCUUCUUAAAAAGAAAAAAA